Molecule: ribosomal RNA, 535 nt
Filed under: uncultured bacterium
Lineage: Bacteria
Description: bacterial SSU rRNA
Rfam family: Bacterial small subunit ribosomal RNA
Source: RNAcentral
CCAUGCCGCGUGUCUGAAGAAGGCCUUCGGGUUGUAAAGGACUUUUGUCAGGGAGCAAAACUUACUGGUUAAUACCUGGUGAGGUUGAGAGUACCUGAAGAAUAAGCACCGGCUAACUACGUGCCAGCAGCCGCGGUAAUACGUAGGGUGCAAGCGUUAAUCGGAAUUACUGGGCGUAAAGCGUGCGCAGGCGGACUUUUAAGCCAGAUGUGAAAGCCCCGAGCUUAACUUGGGAAUUGCGUUUGGAACUGGGAGUCUAGAGUCUGUCAGAGGGGGAUGGAAUUCCACGUGUAGCAGUGAAAUGCGUAGAGAUGUGGAGGAACACCGAUGGCGAAGGCAGUCCCCUGGGAUAAGACUGACGCUCAUGCACGAAAGCGUGGGGAGCAAACAGGAUUAGAUACCCUGGUAGUCCACGCCCUAAACGAUGUCUACUAGUUGUUGGGGUAGCAAUACCUCAGUGACGCAGCUAACGCGUGAAGUAGACCGCCUGGGGAGUACGGUCGCAAGAUUAAAACUCAAAGGAAUUGACGGGGGC